GGUUAAGCGACUAAGCGUACACGGUGGAUGCCCUGGCAGUCAGAGGCGAUGAAGGACGUGCUAAUCUGCGAUAAGCGUCGGUAAGGUGAUAUGAACCGUUAUAACCGGCGAUUUCCGAAUGGGGAAACCCAGUGUGUUUCGACACACUAUCAUUAACUGAAUCCAUAGGUUAAUGAGGCGAACCGGGGGAACUGAAACAUCUAAGUACCCCGAGGAAAAGAAAUCAACCGAGAUUCCCCCAGUAGCGGCGAGCGAACGGGGAGCAGCCCAGAGCCUGAAUCAGUGUGUGUGUUAGUGGAAGCGUCUGGAAAGGCGCGCGAUACAGGGUGACAGCCCCGUACACAAAAAUGCACAUGCUGUGAGCUCGAUGAGUAGGGCGGGACACGUGGUAUCCUGUCUGAAUAUGGGGGGACCAUCCUCCAAGGCUAAAUACUCCUGACUGACCGAUAGUGAACCAGUACCGUGAGGGAAAGGCGAAAAGAACCCCGGCGAGGGGAGUGAAAAAGAACCUGAAACCGUGUACGUACAAGCAGUGGGAGCACGCUUAGGCGUGUGACUGCGUACCUUUUGUAUAAUGGGUCAGCGACUUAUAUUCUGUAGCAAGGUUAACCGAAUAGGGGAGCCGAAGGGAAACCGAGUCUUAACUGGGCGUUAAGUUGCAGGGUAUAGACCCGAAACCCGGUGAUCUAGCCAUGGGCAGGUUGAAGGUUGGGUAACACUAACUGGAGGACCGAACCGACUAAUGUUGAAAAAUUAGCGGAUGACUUGUGGCUGGGGGUGAAAGGCCAAUCAAACCGGGAGAUAGCUGGUUCUCCCCGAAAGCUAUUUAGGUAGCGCCUCGUGAAUUCAUCUCCGGGGGUAGAGCACUGUUUCGGCAAGGGGGUCAUCCCGACUUACCAACCCGAUGCAAACUGCGAAUACCGGAGAAUGUUAUCACGGGAGACACACGGCGGGUGCUAACGUCCGUCGUGAAGAGGGAAACAACCCAGACCGCCAGCUAAGGUCCCAAAGUCAUGGUUAAGUGGGAAACGAUGUGGGAAGGCCCAGACAGCCAGGAUGUUGGCUUAGAAGCAGCCAUCAUUUAAAGAAAGCGUAAUAGCUCACUGGUCGAGUCGGCCUGCGCGGAAGAUGUAACGGGGCUAAACCAUGCACCGAAGCUGCGGCAGCGACGCUUAUGCGUUGUUGGGUAGGGGAGCGUUCUGUAAGCCUGUGAAGGUGUGCUGUGAGGCAUGCUGGAGGUAUCAGAAGUGCGAAUGCUGACAUAAGUAACGAUAAAGCGGGUGAAAAGCCCGCUCGCCGGAAGACCAAGGGUUCCUGUCCAACGUUAAUCGGGGCAGGGUGAGUCGACCCCUAAGGCGAGGCCGAAAGGCGUAGUC
RNAcentral lists this ribosomal RNA (1376 nucleotides) under Escherichia coli. RNAcentral's name for it is "partial 23S ribosomal RNA". It matches the Rfam family "Bacterial large subunit ribosomal RNA", at positions 1 to 1416 of the family's 2925-position model. Lineage: Bacteria; Pseudomonadati; Pseudomonadota; Gammaproteobacteria; Enterobacterales; Enterobacteriaceae. The record is from RNAcentral.